UGAUUUUUUUCAGGACAGUGUAAAGCGUGUUUAAAUCUUCCAGAAAUGCAACUGUGCCCUCUUUACAGUAAUUAUAGAUGAAGCAAAGUAUGGUAGCAAGUUAUAUAGAUAUACACACAUGCCGAAGAAGAUUGUAAUAUCUGGAGAAAACAUUUCCUUCGUCAAGAAAUAGACACCGUUACACUGGUCUACGUAACAUUCCUAUUAUAGAUGAUUGAUAUAUUUAAGUGCUUUUAAGAACAGUGUUUGAAUGUCGAAUUUCUGUGAAUACGGAUUUUUAGUUUUAAUGGUUAUUAUUAAAACUUUCUGUUAUAAUCAA
Long non-coding RNA from Ruditapes philippinarum (Manila clam), 319 nucleotides. RefSeq lists it as uncharacterized. The record is from RefSeq and is a predicted model, not a curated record. The transcript is spliced from 2 exons. Lineage: Eukaryota; Metazoa; Mollusca; Bivalvia; Venerida; Veneridae.